AUCUAGCUGACGAGUCCCGAAUGGGGUGAAACGCGAGUCCUAGGU
Molecule: non-coding RNA, 45 nt
Organism: Schistosoma haematobium
Lineage: Eukaryota; Metazoa; Platyhelminthes; Trematoda; Strigeidida; Schistosomatidae
Source: Rfam